GGGAUCUAGCUCAUCCGGGAGAGCGCAUCGCUGGCAGCGAUGAGGUCAGGGGUUCGACUCCCCUAGGCUCUA
Molecule: transfer RNA, 72 nt
Filed under: compost metagenome
Description: tRNA-Ala
Rfam family: tRNA
About the family: Transfer RNA (tRNA) molecules are approximately 80 nucleotides in length. Their secondary structure includes four short double-helical elements and three loops (D, anti-codon, and T loops). Further hydrogen bonds mediate the characteristic L-shaped molecular structure. tRNAs have two regions of fundamental functional importance: the anti-codon, which is responsible for specific mRNA codon recognition, and the 3' end, to which the tRNAs corresponding amino acid is attached (by aminoacyl-tRNA synthetases). tRNAs cope with the degeneracy of the genetic code in two manners: having more than one tRNA (with a specific anti-codon) for a particular amino acid; and 'wobble' base-pairing, i.e. permitting non-standard base-pairing at the 3rd anti-codon position.
Source: RNAcentral